AUUGAACGCUGGCGGCAGGCCUAACACAUGCAAGUCGGACGGUAGCACAGAGAGCUUGCUCUCGGGUGACGAGUGGCGGACGGGUGAGUAGUGUCUGGGGAUCUGCCCGAUAGAGGGGGAUAACCACUGGAAACGGUGGCUAAUACCGCAUAACGUCGCAAGACCAAAGAGGGGGACCUUCGGGCCUCUCACUAUCGGAUGAACCCAGAUGGGAUUUGCUAGUAGGCGGGGUAACGGCCCACCUAGGCGACGAUCCCUAGCUGGUCUGAGAGGAUGACCGGCCACACUGGAACUGAGACACGGUCCAGACUCCUACGGGAGGCAGCAGUGGGGAAUAUUGCACAAUGGGCGCAAGCCUGAUGCAGCCAUGCCGCGUGUAUGAAGAAGGCCUUCGGGUUGUAAAGUACUUUCAGCGGGGAGGAAGGCGAUGUGGUUAAUAACCGCAUUGAUUGACGUUACCCGCAGAAGAAGCACCGGCUAACUCCGUGCCAGCCGCCGCGGUAA
RNAcentral lists this ribosomal RNA (504 nucleotides) under uncultured bacterium. RNAcentral's name for it is "partial 16S ribosomal RNA". It matches the Rfam family "Bacterial small subunit ribosomal RNA", at positions 29 to 523 of the family's 1533-position model. The record is from RNAcentral.